CAUACUGGGGUGAACCAACUAACAUGCACAUGAAUUGAGUUUAUUAUCAUUAUGGCAAAAAUAUAAGCUCAAAUGGAGUUAGGCAACUUGCAAGCAUUUAAAAUGCCUGUUCCCAAGAGAGAUUGCAGCUUUAUAUAAGAUAUUUAAGCACAGAAUGGCCAAGGUUGGAAGGUACCUCUGAAGAUCAUCUAGUCCAACACCCUUGCCAAGCAGGAUCACCUAGAGCAUGUUGCACAGGAUCACACCUAGGUGGAUUUUGAAUAUCUCCAGAGAAGGUGAUUCCACAGCCCCUCUGGGCAACCUGUUCCAGUGCUCUGUCACCCUCACAGUAAAGAAGUGCUCCCUCAUAUUGAGCAGAACCUCCUGUGCUUCAGUUUGUGCCCAUUAUCUCUCAGUCUGUCACUGGGCACAACUGAAAAGAGACUGGCUCCAUCCUCUUGACACCAUCCCCUCAGUUAUUUGUACACAUUAAUGAGGUCUCCCCUCAGUCUUCUCUUUUCCAGGCUAAAUAGUCCCAGUUCUUUCAGCCUGUCCCUGUACAACAGGUGCUCCACCUGUAUUUUGAAUGCAUACUGAUCUUCAUUUUUUAUGUCAGCAAAAGCAACAGUGCACCUUAUCCAGUAUAUUGUUAAAGUCAUCUUCUGAGCUAUGCUUUACAGUUAUAAACAAGUCUGUUGGUAUUUUGUGCUUCAUUAAGAGUUAUUGAAUAAUACUAAUUCAGACAAUUAUAAAUAAAUUAAAACAAAACAAAACAAAACAAAAACAAAAGCAUAGAAAUACAUACUUUGCCACACAAUUUUUCUGUUUUGUUACUGACAGAUGAACCCAUCUGCUUCUUUCUUGAGACUUUAGGAUCUGUAGGGUGUACUCCAACAUGUUUUUAAGUCUGAAUAACCUGACUUGGUCAGUAUUUCUGAACAGGGACAAAGAAGUCCCUAAUAACUUUGUUUUUAUGAUUAACAUUCAUCCUCGGUGUACUCAUUUGAUACCAAGACAUUUAUAACAGGGACAAUAAACAGGUCUUGGCAUUUCCAAGUUCAUUUCCUUGACCUAAUAUAGAGACAUAAUCAUAAUCUUAGGUCUUCUUGCAAGAAAGCUUCCCUAUUCCCAUUAGCGCUGAAGCAAAUAUUAGCAAAGAUUAGGAUUGCUUUCACACUGGAGAAAAUUUUGCUUUAAUACAGUAUGUUUGGCAGCUCUUCUGUCCUCUCAAUGAGGGCAGAUGUAAUACGAAGUACUAUAUCAUGCCUAUGAAAAAGAGCUAUAACAAUUACAGCAGUGUCAGUACUUUUAAAAUAGUUCAGGUUUCUUCCUUUUCAGGUUUUCUUAUUCUUCCAGUUGGUAUGUGAGUGACUGUCUUCUCCUGCAUUGCAAUGCUCCUGAAUAUAUACAAAUUGUACAGGAUUUUAUUGCUAUCAGGGGGAAGAGCUUGGCUGUGCUAUGGAUAAGCUUAUUAUUGAAGACCAUCAGUUCCCACAUCCAGAAAUGCCUUCUGUAGCUGUGUAAAGCUGUCUGGCAUCCCCAGGACCUGUGUAUACAUGGUGACAGAUCAUCAUAAUUGAGUCUCUCUGCUCUAUUGGUUUAAUUACCAGGAAGAGUUUGCUUAUAAAAUGAGUAGUCAGGUUUUAUACCUUAUUAACUUUGUUACGUUACAGUGCCAGUGUUGCGCAACUCCAGUUAAUGUGUUGUCUAUCCUUUGUGACCUCUCUGACUUUCUUCCACUCCUCCUUCCAGAAUUUAUUCACUUUAUCAUCACUGCAGACAGAAGGUUACAAAGGAUGUAUCAUGGCUGGGCAAAGAUGACAGCAAAGAGCUCUGUACAGUCUAGGAAUACGACAUGAGAACUGUUCGACCAGCUGAGACAGCAAAUAAAGCAAAUUCUGAAUAUUUCCAGAGGCUCAGAGAUGCACAGAAAGGAGCUGAGUAAUCUUAGUGAGUUACUGAACCACAGGAUGAUGCCAUUAAAAGUUAUUUAUUUCUGCACGUGAAUACAUUCAUACAGGGUAAAAAAAAAAAAAAAAAAAAAAAAAAACAAACAAAAAAAAAACAUAAUACAGAGAUCUUUAAAAAGCAUAAUACAGAGAUCUUCGACUCCGUGGAAACCUGUAAAAGCCCAUAGGAUACUGAACAGUGUUAUAUGGUCUUGCCCAGCAGGACCUACAAGGAGCCUAUCUAUAUUUGCUGUGAAUGGUGUCCUAACUAAUAAAUCCUCUCUGUUGGCAGGGAUGCAAUACCACACACAAACACAGCAAAGAAUAUCUUUGUUCUGCUUUUCAUUUCCCCACCUUUGUGGUUCAGAUCAGUAUGAAGAAUUAACUGCUCCUUGUAUAAAUCCAAAAAUGCUGUACGUGGCAGAGCAUAAAAGGCUUCGGUGUUUAGCACAGCACCACUUCACAAGCACUUUUAUUCCUGCCCAAUCUGUGGACAAAGGUUAAUGGUUUAAAAACUACUCCCAUUUCACUUGGCCAUACUUGUACUAAGAGAUUAUGAAAAUAGCAUUCUUGAUGUGAAACUGAGCUGCAUCUGCUCCAUCCAGAUCCUUGCAAUGCUUUGUGCUUUCUCAGACCCUCAUGUUGCUUUCCUCUAUUAAUGGUCAUGCUUAGGUAUCCUGUUAUAAACAGAAAACACAGCUCAAUAAACAUGGAUUUUAACGUUA
This is a non-coding RNA of Anas platyrhynchos (mallard), 2653 nucleotides long. Lineage: Eukaryota; Metazoa; Chordata; Aves; Anseriformes; Anatidae. The record is from RefSeq and is a predicted model, not a curated record.